This 533-nucleotide ribosomal RNA is filed under the name Pichia heedii. RNAcentral's name for it is "partial small subunit ribosomal RNA". It matches the Rfam family "Bacterial small subunit ribosomal RNA", at positions 359 to 950 of the family's 1533-position model. Lineage: Eukaryota; Fungi; Ascomycota; Pichiomycetes; Pichiales; Pichiaceae. The record is from RNAcentral.
GAAUAUUAGUCAAUGAUCGAAAGAUUGAUCUAGUUACUUAGAAAGAUGAAGAUUAUAAAAAAAAAUAUAAAAAAAAUAAUAAUGAAGAAUAUAAAAUCAAUAUAUAUAUUAAAAGAAAAAAGAUGAGAAUAUAUAUAGAAGUCUUAACCAAAAUUAGUGCCAGCAGUUGCGGCUAAACUAAGGAGGCAAACGUUAAUCAUUAAUGGCUUAAAGGAUCCGUAGAAUGAUAUUUCUAAGAAAUAUUAGAGUUAAAUAGAAUAAUAAUGAAAAAUUAUAUUGAGAGAUGAAAUGUGUGGAAAAUAAUUAGACAAAUAAACGUGAAGAUAAAAUUAGAAAUUUAACUGACAUUGAGGGAUGAAGGCAUGAGUAGCAAAACGGAUUAGAUACCCGAGUAGUUCAUGCAGUAAACGAUGAAUACUAAAAAAGAAAUAAAAGCGAAAGCAAAAGUAUUCCGCCAGGAGAGUAUAGCUUCAAAGUUGAAAUCCAAGACAAUAGACGGUUACAGUUGUAGGCAGUGGAUUGUGUUAUUUAAU